Molecule: ribosomal RNA, 617 nt
Filed under: Rhodotorula mucilaginosa
Lineage: Eukaryota; Fungi; Basidiomycota; Microbotryomycetes; Sporidiobolales; Sporidiobolaceae
Description: eukaryotic LSU rRNA
Rfam family: Eukaryotic large subunit ribosomal RNA
Source: RNAcentral
GCAUAUCAAUAAGCGGAGGAAAAGAAACUAACAAGGAUUCCCCUAGUAGCGGCGAGCGAAGCGGGAAGAGCUCAAAUUUAUAAUCUGGCACCUUCGGUGUCCGAAGUUGUAAUCUCUAGAAAUGUUUUCCGCGUUGGACCGCACACAAGUCUGUUGGAAUACAGCGGCAUAGUGGUGAGACCCCCGUAUAUGGUGCGGACGCCCAGCGCUUUGUGAUACAUUUUCGAAGAGUCGAGUUGUUUGGGAAUGCAGCCUCAAAUUGGGUGGUAAAUUCCAUCUAAAGCUAAAUAUUGGCGAGAGACCGAUAGCGAACAAGUACCGUGAGGGAAAGAUGAAAAGCACUUUGGAAAGAGAGUUAACAGUAACGUGAAAUUGUUGGAAGGGAAACGCUUGAAGUCAGACUUGCUUGCCGAGCAAUCGGUUUGCAGGCCAGCAUCAGUUUUCCGGGAUGGAUAAUGGUAGAGAGAAGGGUAGCAGUUUCGGCUGUGUUAUAGCUCUCUGCUGGAUACAUCUUGGGGGACUGAGGAACGCAGUGUGCCUUUGGCGGGGGUUUCGACCUCUUCACACUUAGGAUGCUGGUGGAAUGGCUUUAAACGACCCGUCUUGAAACACGGACC